GUCUCCUACGGGGGGCAGCAGUGGGGAAUAUUGCACAAUGGGGGAAACCCUGAUGCAGCAACGCCGCGUGAAGGAAGACGGUUUUCGGAUUGUAAACUUCUUUUCUUAGUGAAGAAGCAAGUGACGGUAGCUAAGGAAUAAGCAUCGGCUAACUACGUGCCAGCAGCCGCGGUAAUACGUAUGGAGCAAGCGUUAUCCGGAAUUACUGGGUGUAAAGGGAGCGUAGGCGGCAAGGCAAGUCUGAUGUGAAAACCCAGGGCCCAACCCUGGGACUGCAUUGGAAACUGUAUUGCUUGAGUACCGGA
Molecule: ribosomal RNA, 305 nt
Filed under: uncultured bacterium
Lineage: Bacteria
Description: bacterial SSU rRNA
Rfam family: Bacterial small subunit ribosomal RNA
Source: RNAcentral